AGUAGGGAAUAUUGGACAAUGGGCGCAAGCCUGAUCCAGCCAUGCCGCGUGAGUGAAGAAGGCCCUCGGGUUGUAAAGCUCUUUUGUCCGGAAAGAAAAGCAUUCGGUUAAUACCCGAGUGUUCUGACGGUACCGGAAGAAUAAGCACCGGCUAACUUCGUGCCAGCAGCCGCGGUAAUACGAAGGGUGCAAGCGUUACUCGGAAUUACUGGGCGUAAAGCGUGCGUAGGUGGUUUGUUAAGUCUGAUGUGAAAGCCCUGGGCUCAACCUGGGAAUGGCAUUGGAUACUGGCAAGCUAGAGUGCGGUAGAGGGUAGUGGAAUUCCCGGUGUAGCAGUGAAAUGCGUAGAGAUCGGGAGGAACAUCUGUGGCGAAGGCGACUACCUGGACCAGCACUGACACUGAGGCACGAAAGCGUGGGGAGCAAA
RNAcentral lists this ribosomal RNA (427 nucleotides) under uncultured Thermomonas sp. Its description in RNAcentral is "bacterial SSU rRNA". It matches the Rfam family "Bacterial small subunit ribosomal RNA", at positions 353 to 772 of the family's 1533-position model. Lineage: Bacteria; Pseudomonadati; Pseudomonadota; Gammaproteobacteria; Lysobacterales; Lysobacteraceae. The record is from RNAcentral.